AGCCCUAAGCUUUCCCAGGCUUUCCCUUGAUUUUUUAAAACCUUUGCCCCUGCUGUGCCCUCUUCCAGGAGCGCUCACUUCUACACGGUGGAUUUGUCCUGCAAGCCUUCGCAUCCUUAGAUCACCUUCCCAGCGCCCCCUACCGAGCAGGCAUGGAGGUCCAGCCAGAGGAAAUGAACCUGCCUGAAGCCAAGCUUCAUCUCUCGGUGAAAAUGAGCCGCUAUAGGUGGUUGUGAAAUCACAGGACCUGGGUUGUUGAAACUCCUCUUGUUUCCGGGAUCUCAGCUCUUCUCUUUAGAAACAGAAACAACUUUUCCCUGAGUCAAUCCACCCACUGCUCCCUCAGGAAUGACUUACCCUCUAAAAGCCAUAAUGUUCAUGUGUACGAAUGUUAAAGUGUAAUAAGGACCCUCUCUUGCACAA
This is a long non-coding RNA of Phacochoerus africanus (Common warthog), 423 nucleotides long. RefSeq lists it as uncharacterized. The transcript is spliced from 2 exons. The record is from RefSeq and is a predicted model, not a curated record. Lineage: Eukaryota; Metazoa; Chordata; Mammalia; Artiodactyla; Suidae.